Humulus lupulus (European hop) is the source of this 1945-nucleotide long non-coding RNA. RefSeq lists it as uncharacterized. The record is from RefSeq and is a predicted model, not a curated record. The transcript is spliced from 4 exons. NCBI's taxonomy places the organism in Eukaryota, Viridiplantae, Streptophyta, Magnoliopsida, Rosales, Cannabaceae.
AUUUGCUCAAUUUUAUAUUAUUACUUUUUGCAUAUGCUGGAAGAUUGAUAUAUUACUUGGGAAAAAUUCGCCUUUCUCUCUCCCCUGUCUUGCCGACUUUUGUUAUUAUUUCUUUCAGUCUUCCCUGCUUGGACAUUUAUAGACUUGGUUUUCAAAUCUUUGUGAGAGCUUUGUAUUUCAAUUAUCUCUGAUAGAAUUAGUGACCGCCUUACUCAAACUCAAACUCAAACCCAAAGUGAUAUACAUGGCUUCAAAUUCUAUUUCUCUAUCGCCACCUCACUCUCGACUCUUCUCUCCUCUAAUCUGAAACACAAUUCCCUUAUUUCCCAGAUUUGGUUAACUCCGAUCAACCUUUCCCACUUCUUGUACAAGUUAAUUGUUAAGUGGCUUCAAUAUUCAAGUAAAUAGUUGCUCAUUUUGUAAUUGUGUCGCCUAUUCUAAUAGGGCACAAUAGCAAUAAAGGUGAAAAUGGCACAAAAGGAGGCUCAAGGAGUAGCUGAGAAGAAAGGAAGACGAUGACUUGGCAGUGGCAGUGUUGUUGGUUCCAGCUGUACUGCUGGUUGUAUAUGGAAAGAUACAUAUGUUAGAGUUUAUACAACUCGCAUCGACAUUAAUUUUUUGGAGGAAUUGUGAUUGCUUUGGUUAGAGAGUGGCUUCUAACUGUUGUCUUUGUAUCCUCUGUUCCACUCUUGGCUGGUGACACUAUCCAUUGUCAUGUUUAUGCUAAAGUAGUUUAUCAAACAAUCAGUUCAAUAAGAGUUAUAUGUAUAUGUGUUAAUAAUAUUUGACUUUCACUUCCUAAGAGUUAAAUUUAUUGUGUCUGUGCUUUUUUUUAUCAGUAUUUCAAAUUAGAAUGGCAAAAUUGUGGCUUUUUUUUGCUCAUUUGAGCAAAUUUAUUUAUAUUUAUAAAACAUAGGGUCUUUCAUAACCAAUAAGUUUUUGUUUUAAAGACAAUAGUUUCUCAUGUUUUGUUCUUUGCUUUUAUGUUAGAUAAAUAAAAGUUCCAUCACAGCCUGCAUAAUUAUCACUGCAAUUACUAAUCCUUUUUCCGUAUCAAAAUCUCAAUCCUUAUAUAUAGUUUAAUUAUUCUCAUUUUCCUUUACUGGCUUUCAUUUCUUAAAUAUAUGUUUCUAUACUCUUUCUUAUAUAGUCGUUGGUGGUGAUUCUUCUACAUGCACAUAAAUAUCAUAAAGAUGAUAAGUAUAAAAACAUGUACAUAUAUAUUAUUUUCAUUAUGCUUUUCAAGUGUUGUUCAUGGUUGUUAGAUUGGAUUAGAAAUCUAUAUUUCCCUGUCUUUCGAUUUACUUUUUUUAUAAAGCUUGAUUUGUGUAAUCCGUCUUUGCAAUUUGAAAAUAGUCUAAACUAAGUUAUGUAGUUUUCUAUGUAUUUUAGGUGGACAAGCUAAGCCUUUGACUCAACCCAAGGCUGAGAAGAAAGAAGGUGGCGAACUGGAUGGCCACAUGGGAGAGACAAGUUGUAAGAAUAGGAAGUUUGUUCCUGAAAACUAUAUUGAGACAAGAAAUGACUUUCUUUAAUAAGAAGAUGAACACUGGCGAAAUUGUGGGGAGAAUGGCUGGUGACACUAUAUCCAAGAUGCAAUGGGAGAUAAGGUGGGGGUUGGAAAUGGGUCAAAUUAUGUCUCCAAAAAUGUUGAGGAUGAAGGUUUGUGUGGUAGUAGUGGUAGUAGCACUGUAAAAGCAUGUUACAAACCUAUGUAUUAUGCUGUCUGUAAAAGCAUGUUACAUGUUUGUAACAUGUAAAUUCAUAGUUAUCGUUGUCUGUAAAAGCUUGUUACAGGUUCGUAAUAUGUAAAUUUAUAGUUGUCGUUGUUUGUAAAAGCUUGUUACAGGUUUUUAACACGUAAGUUCUCUAUCAUGUUUUUUUUUGUUUGUUCAAGUUGCAAGAUAAUGGUUUUGUUCUAUACAUACCAGGUUAUAUUUGUUUA